Molecule: ribosomal RNA, 294 nt
Filed under: Fenneralpheus chacei
Lineage: Eukaryota; Metazoa; Arthropoda; Malacostraca; Decapoda; Alpheidae
Description: partial small subunit ribosomal RNA
Source: RNAcentral
GUGCCCGGAGUAGUAAACAGAUAUGGGCUCGAAACUUAAAGAAUUUGGCGGUAUCUAAGUCUAGUUAGAGGAACCUGUGCUAUAAACGAUAAACCGCGAGUAUCUUGCUUUGUCUGGGUAAUUCAGUACGUAUACCGCCAUUAUAGAUAAUCUUUGAAGGGGUUUAUUUAAGUAGAUUAACAUUUAGUAUAUUAGGUCAAGGUGCGGCUGAUGGCAAAGUAGUCAUGGGUUACAGUCGAGUGAGUUGUCGGAUAAACUCAGGAAGAUUUGAGAGUUGAAGUUGGAUUUAAUAGU